GGGGGAAGGAGCAAUGGGGCCUUUACUUCAGUGUCACUGUCCUCUGGAGGAGGUAUGGAAAACACACCCAGGAAGCAAGGGCAGGAAGCAGGAAGACCAGGCAGGAGGCUAGAAGGGGACGCUGGGUCCCCAGAAGCUGAACUUACAUGUGGCUGUGAGUCUCUCGAUGAAAGUUCUGGGAGCGUCACUUAGAUCCUCUAGAAGAACAGAAGGUUUUCAUGACCAUUGAACACCUCCCCAGCCCCUGCCUGCUUAAAGUGGAUGCAUUUUAUUGGAUUCUUGAAAAUAUGACAUUGGACGAGAGUUAUGAAUCACAUCCUGCUUCAGCAAACCUUCGACAAGAUGAGGCAAUGUAGAAAACAGUCUUGCAAUGCGAAGGCGGGCCUAUGUGCUGCCAGUCAUUGCCGGAGACCAGGGCCGUGUGUCCUUCAGCAGCAGCUUCUGUGGUUCCAUAAGGCGGAGAAAAAGGAGACCGAUGACCACAUCUACGUGAUUCGAACUCUUGUUUUUAGAGUCCUAGAUAAAUUGAGUUAGAACAAG
Molecule: long non-coding RNA, 540 nt
Filed under: Cricetulus griseus (Chinese hamster)
Lineage: Eukaryota; Metazoa; Chordata; Mammalia; Rodentia; Cricetidae
Description: lncRNA (ENSCGRG00015039284.1)
Source: RNAcentral